RNAcentral lists this ribosomal RNA (253 nucleotides) under uncultured Acidobacteriota bacterium. RNAcentral's name for it is "uncultured Acidobacteria bacterium partial 16S ribosomal RNA". It matches the Rfam family "Bacterial small subunit ribosomal RNA", at positions 524 to 776 of the family's 1533-position model. The record is from RNAcentral. Lineage: Bacteria; Pseudomonadati; Acidobacteriota.
UACGGAGGGGGCGAGCGUUAUUCGGAAUUACUGGGCGUAAAGGGCGCGUAGGCGGCCUUGCAAGUCGAAGGUGAAAUCCCCGGGCUCAACCUGGGAACGGCCUUCGAUACUGCUCGGCUAGAGUCCGGGAGGGGGUAGCGGAAUUCCCAGUGUAGCGGUGAAAUGCGUAGAUAUUGGGAGGAACACCGGUGGCGAAGGCGGCUACCUGGACCGGUACUGACGCUGAGGCGCGAAAGCGUGGGGAGCAAACAGG